This is a long non-coding RNA of Coffea arabica (coffee), 1195 nucleotides long. RefSeq lists it as uncharacterized. The record is from RefSeq and is a predicted model, not a curated record. Lineage: Eukaryota; Viridiplantae; Streptophyta; Magnoliopsida; Gentianales; Rubiaceae.
AAUUUUCAAUUUUGAUCAAAAAAUGAAAAAUCGCAGUUCAAGGUUCGAACCGAUUUUAACGGUUUUAAUGAUUUUUCACGAUUUUGACCGAUUUUUGAUCCUGGUCAACAUAAGCAAUGAAUCAGACCGAAUACACGGCCGGUUUGCAGUUGAAUCGGUAGAACCGACCGAUCCGAUCCGAAUUCGAAAACAUUAGAUGAACUUUUAAAGAAACAUAUGAAUGCUAUAAAUCCUUUAUGUAGUACCCGAGAUGAAGAUGAUCUCUUGUUUCCGUAACUUAGGUCCCAUCCUGUCCCAUCAUCGUGGCCCGAAUCUCGAGAAUGCCUCUCAAGAUCGAUUUCGAAGGUAACUGCAAUCCUGUGAUCUUAACCGGCGCUUAAUUCCCGAGCUUUGUUUCUUAUUUCGUGCAGGAAGCUUGUAACAAUGAUUGCCGAUCUACACAGAUCUCGGGAAUCUUGAUUACGAUUCUACACUAUGCUUUUGCACUCAGAUGUGAAUCUCUAAAAUCCUAAGCGACUAGAAAGAAGUCAUUAGCGAGAAGUCAUGGGCCAUGGAGUUGGACGAAGCAGGGGACGGGGCUGUGCUCCUCAAAAGAUGUCCUUAAAGGUUAUUCUGCUUCAUCAAGCUACCAAGCGCCGGCAGAUGAUCCGUCCAGGAACGCCACCAGGUGCCCGAGAAUGUGAUGAAAUUACAGGGAUGUAAUUGCAGACUGUUCUAAUGAGCAGAAGGCUGGGGCCUCAAGAAAUGUUACAGGUUCAUUAUCAACCUACAGAAAACCAAUAGAUAAUCAAUCUUGGAAUGAUGUAAAGUGGAUGUACAGGUUCGAGUAAGGAGUCGAAAUGCAGCUUGGCCUUGGAGCUGAUAAAGGAUUGCAAAGAAAAAAGACAAUUUGGCGCCUCAAAAUGCAAUAGAUUCGAGGAAGUUCUUCCUGGCUGUCCUAGGGAAGAAAAGGGGAACCUAUUGCUUAGAUUUGAAGAAUGCCAGCUGAAUCAUGUCUUGGCAGCUGAAUCAUGUCUUGGCAACAGGAGCAACAUGUUUCGAUGAGUUUUACUUUGUUCCACUCUCCCCCUCCCCCAUUUUAAUGAAGAUGAAAGGGAAUUCAUUUUCACCAAUUCUUUUGUAACUCACCUCAUUUUAUUUGUUGAAUUCUGCGUAAGCAAUGAAUAGAAUCCAGCCACACAAGGUAAUCAACUCA